GUGAGUAACACGUGGGCAAUCUGCCCUUCACUCUGGGACAAGCCCUGGAAACGGGGUCUAAUACCGGAUAAUACUCUGUUCCGCAUGGGACGGGGUUGAAAGCUCCGGCGGUGAAGGAUGAGCCCGCGGCCUAUCAGCUUGUUGGUGGGGUAAUGGCCUACCAAGGCGACGACGGGUAGCCGGCCUGAGAGGGCGACCGGCCACACUGGGACUGAGACACGGCCCAGACUCCUACGGGAGGCAGCAGUGGGGAAUAUUGCACAAUGGGCGAAAGCCUGAUGCAGCGACGCCGCGUGAGGGAUGACGGCCUUCGGGUUGUAAACCUCUUUCAGCAGGGAAGAAGCGAGAGUGACGGUACCUGCAGAAGAAGCGCCGGCUAACUACGUGCCAGCAGCCGCGGUAAUACGUAGGGCGCAAGCGUUGUCCGGAAUUAUUGGGCGUAAAGAGCUCGUAGGCGGCUUGUCACGUCGGAUGUGAAAGCCCGGGGCUUAACCCCGGGUCUGCAUUCGAUACGGGCUAGCUAGAGUGUGGUAGGGGAGAUCGGAAUUCCUGGUGUAGCGGUGAAAUGCGCAGAUAUCAGGAGGAACACCGGUGGCGAAGGCGGAUCUCUGGGCCAUUACUGACGCUGAGGAGCGAAAGCGUGGGGAGCGAACAGGAUUAGAUACCCUGGUAGUCCACGCCGUAAACGUUGGGAACUAGGUGUUGGCGACAUUCCACGUGCUGUCGGUGCUCGCAGCUAACGCA
Molecule: ribosomal RNA, 744 nt
Filed under: Streptomycetaceae bacterium
Lineage: Bacteria; Bacillati; Actinomycetota; Actinomycetes; Kitasatosporales; Streptomycetaceae
Description: bacterial SSU rRNA
Rfam family: Bacterial small subunit ribosomal RNA
Source: RNAcentral